AUCUAGCCAUGGGCAGGUUGAAGGUUGGGUAACACUAACUGGAGGACCGAACCGACUAAUGUUGAAAAAUUAGCGGAUGACUUGUGGCUGGGGGUGAAAGGCCAAUCAAACCGGGAGAUAGCUGGUUCUCCCCGAAAGCUAUUUAGGUAGCGCCUCGUGAACUCAUCUUCGGGGGUAGAGCACUGUUUCGGCUAGGGGGCCAUCCCGGCUUACCAACCCGAUGCAAACUACGAAUACCGAAGAAUGUUAUCACGGGAGACACACGGCGGGUGCUAACGUCCGUCGUGAAGAGGGAAACAACCCAGACCGCCAGCUAAGGUCCCAAAGUCAUGGUUAAGUGGGAAACGAUGUGGGAAGGCACAGACAGCCAGGAUGUUGGCUUAGAAGCAGCCAUCAUUUAAAGAAAGCGUAAUAGCUCACUGGUCGAGUCGGCCUGCGCGGAAGAUGUAACGGGGCUAAACCAUGCACCGAAGCUGCGGCAGCGACGCUUAUGCGUUGUUGGGUAGGGGAGCGUUCUGUAAGCCGUUGAAGGUGUCCUGUGAGGGGUGCUGGAGGUAUCAGAAGUGCGAAUGCUGACAUAAGUAACGAUAAAGCGGGUGAAAAGCCCGCUCGCCGGAAGACCAAGGGUUCCUGUCCAACGUUAAUCGGGGCAGGGUGAGUCGACCCCUAAGGCGAGGCCGAAAGGCGUAGUCGAUGGGAAACAGGUUAAUAUUCCUGUACUUGGUGUUACUGCGAAGGGGGGACGGAGAAGGCUAUGUUAGCCGGGCGACGGUUGUCCCGGUUUAAGCAUGUAGGCGGAGGUUCCAGGUAAAUCCGGUUCCUUGUUAACGCUGAGGUGUGAUGACGAGGCACUACGGUGCUGAAGUAACAAAUGCCCUGCUUCCAGGAAAAGCCUCUAAGCAUCAGGUAACACGAAAUCGUACCCCAAACCGACACAGGUGGUCAGGUAGAGAAUACCAAGGCGCUUGAGAGAACUCGGGUGAAGGAACUAGGCAAAAUGGUGCCGUAACUUCGGGAGAAGGCACGCUGAUAUGUAGGUGAAGUCCCUGCGGAUGGAGCUGAAAUCAGUCGAAGAUACCAGCUGGCUGCAACUGUUUAUUAAAAACACAGCACUGUGCAAACACGAAAGUGGACGUAUACGGUGUGACGCCUGCCCGGUGCCGGAAGGUUAAUUGAUGGGGUUAGCGGUAACGCGAAGCUCUUGAUCGAAGCCCCGGUAAACGGCGGCCGUAACUAUAACGGUCCUAAGGUAGCGAAAUUCCUUGUCGGGUAAGUUCCGACCUGCACGAAUGGCGUAAUGAUGGCCAGGCUGUCUCCACCCGAGACUCAGUGAAAUUGAACUCGCUGUGAAGAUGCAGUGUACCCGCGGCAAGACGGAAAGACCCCGUGAACCUUUACUAUAGCUUGACACUGAACACUGGUCCUUGAUGUGUAGGAUAGGUGGGAGGCUUUGAAGCGUGGACGCCAGUCUGCGUGGAGCCAACCUUGAAAUACCACCCUUUAAUGGCUGGUGUUCUAACGUAGACCCGUGAUCCGGGUUGCGGACAGUGUCUGGUGGGUAGUUUGACUGGGGCGGUCUCCUCCCAAAGAGUAACGGAGGAGCACGAAGGUUAGCUAAUCCUGGUCGGACAUCAGGAGGUUAGUGCAAUGGCAUAAGCUAGCUUGACUGCGAGAGUGACGGCUCGAGCAGGUGCGAAAGCAGGUCAUAGUGAUCCGGUGGUUCUGAAUGGAAGGGCCAUCGCUCAACGGAUAAAAGGUACUCCGGGGAUAACAGGCUGAUACCGCCCAAGAGUUCAUAUCGACGGCGGUGUUUGGCACCUCGAUGUCGGCUCAUCACAUCCUGGGGCUGAAGUAGGUCCCAAGGGUAUGGCUGUUCGCCAUUUAAAGUGGUACGCGAGCUGGGUUUAGAACGUCGUGAGACAGUUCGGUCCCUAUCUGCCGUGGGCGCUGGAGAAUUGAGGGGGGCUGCUCCUAGUACGAGAGGACCGGAGUGGACGCAUCACUGGUGUUCGGGUUGUCAUGCCAAUGGCACUGCCCGGUAGCUAAAUGCGGAAGAGAUAAGUGCUGAAAGCAUCUAAGCACGAAACUUGCCCCGAGAUGAGUUCUCCCUGAGACUUUAAGUCUCCUGAAGGAACGUUGAAGACUACGACGUUGAUAGGUCGGGUGUGUAAGCGCAGCGAUGCGUUGAGCUAACCGAUACUAAUGAACCGUGAGGCUUAACCUU
RNAcentral lists this ribosomal RNA (2224 nucleotides) under Enterobacter sp. BIDMC 26. Its description in RNAcentral is "bacterial LSU rRNA". It matches the Rfam family "Bacterial large subunit ribosomal RNA", at positions 728 to 2925 of the family's 2925-position model. The record is from RNAcentral. Lineage: Bacteria; Pseudomonadati; Pseudomonadota; Gammaproteobacteria; Enterobacterales; Enterobacteriaceae.